AGAAAAGCGUGGUGUCGGUUGAAUUAAUUCGGAUUACGUUGUGCUUUUUUUCUGAUAUCGUGAUAAAAACAAAAACUUCCUUAACGUUGUAUUCAUUAUCAGUUGAUUUGUGGAGUUCACAAUCAAUUACAAAUAGAUACUGUGUUUAAUUUGUGGACCAAAAACUCCUCGUUCCGAGUAUCAAAACAUCAGGAUUUUCCAGAUAAUAAUUACGAAAUUGACGCAAACAACUCAAGAGACUUCUUGGAGUUGAGUUUCCAUUUGCCUCCAUUCAGAACCGUGUUACUUCUGGAUUCAGAAGAUAAAGACGAAAUACUACAAGUAUCAGAAGAAGUGUUGCCUCAAUAACGAUCUCAAUCUUGUAAAUGACUGAUCCGCUACCAGACAUAUAUAUGGUCAAAGAAAAAUAAGAUUAAGAAAGAAGCAUCUACUUGAAGUCACAUGCCGCACGGAGGAAGAAAUUUGGAAACACCUUCAUUAUUAGAAACAUCCAAGUAUGCAGCAACAGGAGAAAUCAAGGAAACAGAAGAACAAUCAAGAAUCAAAUACAAAACACAUAUAUUUUCAUAUAAUAGGUACAAUUCAAAAGUGUAAAUAUAAAUCGGUACACAGAAUUUAUAAUAAAUAAUUAGUCUUCCUG
Long non-coding RNA from Agrilus planipennis (emerald ash borer), 640 nucleotides. RefSeq lists it as uncharacterized. The transcript has 5 exons. The record is from RefSeq and is a predicted model, not a curated record. NCBI's taxonomy places the organism in Eukaryota, Metazoa, Arthropoda, Insecta, Coleoptera, Buprestidae.